Molecule: ribosomal RNA, 540 nt
Filed under: uncultured Alternaria
Lineage: Eukaryota; Fungi; Ascomycota; Dothideomycetes; Pleosporales; Pleosporaceae
Description: eukaryotic LSU rRNA
Rfam family: 5.8S ribosomal RNA (bases 165-318)
Source: RNAcentral
AUACCAAUAUGACGCGGGCUGGACCUCUCGGGGUUACAGCCUUGCUGAAUUAUUCACCCUUGUCUUUUGCGUACUUCUUGUUUCCUUGGUGGGUUCGCCCACCACUAGGACAAACAUAAACCUUUUGUAAUUGCAAUCAGCGUCAGUAACAAAUUAAUAAUUACAACUUUCAACAACGGAUCUCUUGGUUCUGGCAUCGAUGAAGAACGCAGCGAAAUGCGAUAAGUAGUGUGAAUUGCAGAAUUCAGUGAAUCAUCGAAUCUUUGAACGCACAUUGCGCCCUUUGGUAUUCCAAAGGGCAUGCCUGUUCGAGCGUCAUUUGUACCCUCAAGCUUUGCUUGGUGUUGGGCGUCUUGUCUCUAGCUUUGCUGGAGACUCGCCUUAAAGUAAUUGGCAGCCGGCCUACUGGUUUCGGAGCGCAGCACAAGUCGCACUCUCUAUCAGCAAAGGUCUAGCAUCCAUUAAGCCUUUUUUUCAACUUUUGACCUCGGAUCAGGUAGGGAUACCCGCUGAACUUAAGCAUAUCAAUAAGCGGAGGAA